RNAcentral lists this ribosomal RNA (350 nucleotides) under Centruroides fulvipes. Its description in RNAcentral is "partial large subunit ribosomal RNA". It matches the Rfam family "Bacterial large subunit ribosomal RNA", at positions 1968 to 2561 of the family's 2925-position model. Lineage: Eukaryota; Metazoa; Arthropoda; Arachnida; Scorpiones; Buthidae. The record is from RNAcentral.
UUAGUCUUGUAAUUUAAGACUGGGAUGAAAGGAUAAACUAAAAAGCUUAUGUCUCAUUUGUUAAUUUUAAAUUUUACUUUUUAGUAAGAAGGCUAAAAUGCUUCUUUUAGACAAGAAGACCCUAUAAAACUUUACAUAGAAUAAUUUAGUAAAUUGAUAAUAUGUUUUGCUGGGGCGGCAAAAAGAGAAACACUUUUAAAUCAUUAAAAAUGUUAUUGUUUUAAUACCCAAAACUUUUGAAACUUAAAUAAGUUACUUUAGGGAUAACAGCGUUAUAUACCUUUAAAGCUCAAAUUGACAGGUAUGUUUGCGACCUCGAUGUUGGAUUAAAUUUCCUUAUUACGCAAGAG